Molecule: ribosomal RNA, 279 nt
Filed under: uncultured bacterium
Lineage: Bacteria
Description: partial 16S ribosomal RNA
Rfam family: Bacterial small subunit ribosomal RNA
Source: RNAcentral
AACGAACGCUGGCGGCAGGCCUAACACAUGCAAGUCGAGCGCAGUCCUUCGGGACCGAGCGGCGGACGGGUUAGUAACGCGUGGGAACGUACCCUUUUCUAAGGAAUAGCCUCGGGAAACUGAGAGUAAUACCUUAUACGCCCUUAGGGGAAAGAUUUAUCGGAGAAGGAUCGGCCCGCGUUAGAUUAGGUAGUUGGUGGGGUAAUGGCCUACCAAGCCUACGAUCUAUAGCUGGUUUGAGAGGAUGAUCAGCCACACUGGGACUGAGACACGGCCCAG